Molecule: long non-coding RNA, 226 nt
Organism: Salvelinus sp. IW2-2015
Lineage: Eukaryota; Metazoa; Chordata; Actinopteri; Salmoniformes; Salmonidae
Source: RefSeq, a predicted model, not a curated record
UAUACGCCCAUGAGACACAGGAAAAAGGCAGCAGAGAAGAACGUCCCGUCCAGACCACGGGUGUGUGCUGUUCUAGAUCUGAUGGUUGAGUUCAUUGUAACUCAUAUGAUGAAGGACUUUCCUAUGGAUCUCUACAUGCGUUGUGUACAGGUGAUCCACAAGCUGAUCUGCUACCAGAAGAAAUGCAGAAUCAGGUUACACUAUACCUGGAGAGAACUGUGGUCCG